GUUACGUUACUCCUACAACAGAGCGUAAAACAAGCCAUUCGUCAGUGUAUCAGAAUUAUUUGAAAGUGUUAAAAAAACAACAACACAUACAUAGGCUAUAAUUGUUUUAUAUAGCCAUGCAUGUUGUAUUAAAGCCAUUACAGGAAUAAUGGAAUAGCCUAUAAAUGGAUUUCUUUGUAAAGAAAAGAUUACAACAGUGGAACCUCUGCAAUUUAAUAGAAACAUUUCAAGGUUGGUACUAAUAUGGUCCACUACCUCAACAAUGAGACAAGCGAGGAUCCACAUGUCUUGGUGCUUGGAGACAAAGAAAAUUCCUCCCAAAUUUUCAUCAUUUUCAUUUGAGAGGCAGUUGAAAAGGAGACCUUACUUCAAGCAGUGAAUGAAUGCUUCAAAACGUUCUACAUCUAUGACGUAAACUACCCAAGGCCAAUUUGGGAGUUUUUGCAGCAUGCAGUCUAUAAUAUUCCUGGAGGAGUUCCUUCUACACAUUGCUGCCUCCUAAAAAACUUUGUAUUCAAAGUUACUGAUCAUCAGUUGAUCCAGUAGCCAAAACACACCUUUAAGGGUUAGUUCACCCACAAAUGAAAAUUCUGUCAUUAAUCACCCUCAUGUUGUUCCAAACCCGCAAGACCUCCGUUCAUCUUUGGAACACAAAUUAAGAUAUUGUUGAUGCAUUCUGACA
Long non-coding RNA from Cyprinus carpio (common carp), 682 nucleotides. RefSeq lists it as uncharacterized. Lineage: Eukaryota; Metazoa; Chordata; Actinopteri; Cypriniformes; Cyprinidae. The transcript has 3 exons. The record is from RefSeq and is a predicted model, not a curated record.